RNAcentral lists this long non-coding RNA (479 nucleotides) under Helianthus annuus (common sunflower). Lineage: Eukaryota; Viridiplantae; Streptophyta; Magnoliopsida; Asterales; Asteraceae. The record is from RNAcentral.
AUGAUCGAGAUUCUAAACACUAAGAAUGCUGACAUGAUGGUAGAGGUUGGCAUUGCUCAACGGCCUAGGUUUUGGUAAGAUUAGAAAACCAAUCAUUUGAGUAAAUUCAGGAGCACAUUUAUCCUUUUUACAACUCAUCCUAUAUUUGCCAUGUAUUUAAAUACCCUGGCAUAAAGGCUUUUGAGAAUGCUUCACUAAGGGUGAACUUAUCUUGGCACGGUGGGAUAUAUUAUCACAUAAGAACAUUUAAACCAUGCCACAUGUUGCCCCCUUGCUACCAUAUAUUAGUGUUGAUACUUUGACAAAUGGGCACCAUGCAUCAAGUCAACAAGUCAAAAAAAGGCCAUCUUUGAGGUUAAAGAGGACGAUCCAAAAGCCGAAAAAAUUGAGGGAGUAAACCAUGUUUGACUAUUACAAAACUUUCCCACAUUGUUGCCUACCGUUUACUUUUGCAUUAAAAUAACAUCAUUUCAUGUUUU